This 3194-nucleotide long non-coding RNA is filed under the name Brassica rapa (field mustard). RNAcentral's name for it is "long non-coding RNA (BRAP_LNC001055)". Lineage: Eukaryota; Viridiplantae; Streptophyta; Magnoliopsida; Brassicales; Brassicaceae. The record is from RNAcentral.
UGGAGAAGAGCUUACAAAACUGAUAGGAUACGAGCAUCAAUCAUCUCUUUUAUUUGUCAAAGUGAGUAUUCAUUUUCAUCACUUUGGCUUACUGGAAUGUGUAGUUUGAGAUUGGUUUCAUUAUUUUGUUUAGUUUUCAUGAAUUUGGAUGAUGUUUGUCUUUGAAUAUUGUUCCUUUUAUGGGUUUGAGUCUUUUGACGAUCAAUAUAAAACCUGUUAAUUCACUAUUUUAGAUAUGGUUUUACAAAGACUAUAGAUUUAUUAUCUUGGUUCUUAUAAUCUUGUGGUGUUAUAUGACUAGUUACCUUCCAAACAAUGGGAGAUCCAAAAGACGUAAAAGGUAAAGGUCAAUACCACUCAUGGUCUGGACCUGAGCACAAGUUGUUAUUGAGGUUACUAGUGGAUGCAAUCAAUCAAGGUUUUCGUGAUGCCAGCGGCAAAUUCAACAAACUGACGGUCGAAUCCAGAAUACUAACAACUCUACAGCAAGAAGUUGGAUCUAAAAAAACCUACGGUCAGUAUAAAAAUAGGAUGAAAAUCUUGAAGGGUAGGUACCAAGUGUUUGCAGAUUUUCUUCGUUGUAGUUCUGGUUUUGGGUGGGACUCUGAAACGAAAAAAUUCACAGCAGAUGAUGAAGUAUGGAAGGUCUAUCUGCAGGUAAAAAAUUAUAAUAUGAAAUUCAUGCUUAUGUUGGUGCUGUUUACAUAUGAUUCUUAUUAUAGUGAUUUUUUUUAAUAGGCUCAUCCAAAUAAUAAAUAUCUGCGUGAUGAUUCGUUUGAAGAUUUUGAAGAGCUAAGGACUAUAUUUGAACAGAAUACUGCAACUGGGCAGAAUGCUGUGGGACUAGGUGAUUCUGUUGAUGCAGGAUCCUAUCAAUUUGAAGAGAACGAGAAGACAAAUGAUAAUAAUUUUGUCCACGUGAUAGAUGAGGGAGGAGGAAUAGAACACCAGCAAACAUGUGAACCUUCAUCAAGAAAAAGCAUUGGAGAAAAGCUUUCACAUAGAAAGAAAGCUAGGACGGAUUCAUAUAACUCGGAAAGGGUUUGUGAGGAAGUUACAGAAAUCAGUAGCCAAAUUUUUGACAUGAUUCAGAAAAGAUGGGUGAAGGAAGCUGAAGAAAAAGAAGCUGAAGACAAAGCUAACAAUGUUUGGGAUGCUAUCAAGGAAAUUCCUGACUUGGAUGAUGAUUUGCGUUAUGAGGCGAUGACCCUUGUUCACACCUUAGGCAUGAAAUCUGGUUUCGUGAAUAUGUCCAUAACAGAUCGUUGUGGAUGGAUUAAAAGAAAUCUCCGUAAACCAAGUGGCUGAAGUAACAUGAUCGGAGUUCUAAAGAUAGUUCGUCAUCUUGGAGUUUUUAUUUCUUUAAAGUUGAGUUUUUAUUAUUACUUUAGCUAUGGUUUUGUUUCUUCUUUGCAGAAUUGUUAUGAUUUUUGUUCUUUAUAUGUUAUGGUUUUUGUUUUUUUUACUACAAUGGUCUAGUUUUAUUUAUUUAUAUACGACACUAUCUUCUUGUUUUCUCCUACAAUGGUAUAAUUAUAUUUUACAUAGGAAAGUAGUAUAUUCUGUUCAAAGUAAACAUUGAUUUUGGCGGCUAAAUUUGGCGGCUAAUUCGUUAGGAUACGAUUCCUUAAUGAUUUGUGUAACCUUAUUUAUUUGUUCUCUUCUUCUCUAGCUAAAGUUCAUCACCGCCGCUUUAUAUUACGUGAGUAUCUAGCAUUAUUUCACACUUUGUUCACCAAUUAGACAGUUUCUUAUGACUUGUUAUUUAUGUUUUUGUGCAGAGAUUUCAAUGGCUCAUAUUGUUAAUGCAAAUGAAGAGAUACAAGUUAGGAAAAAGAGAAAAAAGAUGUCAAAUUUCAAGAUAGACGUUGAUAUUCUCUUACUGGUUUUUUCUAUCAUUGUGAAGGUACGUAAUGUCGCUUCACGUAUUCCACAAAUACAACGUGAAAUUAGAAGAUCAACUACAACACUUGGACAUGAAUACAUACAAAAUGCUUUGGUUGAAGAUCCUAAACAUUUUCGACAUCUAUAUCGUAUGUAUCCGGAUGUGUUUUUGAAGCUAUGCUCUAUUAUAAGAGUAAAGAUGGGAUUAAAAGAUACAAGAUAUGUUUCAGUUGAAGAAAUGCUAGCCACCUUUUUGUUCAUUGUUGGUCAAAACUCAAGGUAUAUUCAGGCUCAAGAUAGAUUCAAGAGGUCAAGAUUCUCAAUAAGUACGAGUUUUCAUACAAUUCUGAAAGUGUUAAACGCACUUGCUCCAAGUUACAUGGCCAAGCCUGAAACAACAGUGCCUCCAAAGAUAAGAGAUAGCACACGAUUCUAUCCUUAUUUUAAGGUACAUGUAGUUCUUCUCUUAUGCAUUUUUUAAAUACCGCAAAAAAAUUUACAUGUUUCUAUAUUUUAUUAGGAUUGUGUAGGAGCUAUUGAUGGAACACAUAUUCUUGCGAUGAUAAGUGGAAAGGAUUCAUCUAGCUACCGCAAUCGAAAAGGACAACUAUCACAAAAUGUUUUAGCUGCAUGCAAUUUUGAUUUAGAAUUUAUAUAUGUUCUUAGUGGAUGGGAAGGUUCAGCUCAUGAUGCUAAAGUAUUACAAGAUGCUUUAACAAGAAAUUUUAACAGAUUACAAGUUCCAGAAGGUAUGUCUGGUUCUUAUGAUUAAAAUAUUGAUGUGUUAUUUUUGUAUUUUCUUAAAAUUAUUUGUAUAUGUUAUAUGAUUUCAGGAAAAUUCUAUUUAGUCGACUGUGGAUACGCCAAUCGUCGUAAUUUUCUGGCUCCAUUUCGAAGUACUCGCUAUCAUCUUCAAGAUUUUAAGGGACAAGGCAAAGAUCCUGUGAAUCAAAAUGAGUUGUUCAAUCAUCGUCAUUCAUCCUUGCGAAAUGUGAUUGAGAGAAUUUUUGGCAUCUUUAAGUCAAGAUUCCUCAUCUUCAAAUCUGCUCCACCAUUUCCGUAUAAAACACAAGCAGAGUUAGUUCUUGCAUGUGUUGUUCUACAUAAUUAUCUUCGUAAAGAAUGUCGUUCAGACGUGUUUCCUGAAGAAGUUGUUGUCGCUGAUGAUAAUGAAAGUGAUGUUCAAGAAAUAGGUGAAGAUGAGAACAUGGAUGAUGAUGUUCAAAAUGGCACUCAAGAACAACAAAGAGUGAAUGCUAAUAAUUGGAGAGCAAAUAUAGCAGCAACCAUGUGGACAGAUGCUAUGCAUA